RNAcentral lists this ribosomal RNA (373 nucleotides) under uncultured Bacteroidota bacterium. RNAcentral describes it as "bacterial SSU rRNA". It matches the Rfam family "Bacterial small subunit ribosomal RNA", at positions 521 to 896 of the family's 1533-position model. The record is from RNAcentral. Lineage: Bacteria; Pseudomonadati; Bacteroidota.
UAAUACGGAGGAUCUAAGCGUUAUCCGGAAUCAUUGGGUUUAAAGGGUCCGUAGGUGGAUAAUUAAGUCAGAGGUGAAAGUUUGCGGCUCAACCGUAAAAUUGCCUUUGAUACUGGUUAUCUUGAACCAUUGUGAAGUGGUUAGAAUAUGUAGUGUAGCGGUGAAAUGCAUAGAUAUUACAUAGAAUACCAAUUGCGAAGGCAGAUCACUAACAAUGUAUUGACACUGAUGGACGAAAGCGUGGGGAGCGAACGGGAUUAGAUACCCCGGUAGUCCACGCCGUAAACGAUGGUCACUAGCUGUUCGGACUUCGGUCUGAGUGGCUAAGCGAAAGUGAUAAGUGACCCACCUGGGGAGUACGUUCGCAAGAAUG